UGGGUGACCUGCCCUCAGCUCUGGGAUAAGCCUGGGAAACUGGGUCUAAUACUGGAUAUGACUGCGCAUCGCAUGGUGUGUGGUGGAAAGUCCUGGGCUUAAUUGUCUGGGUUCGGCUGGGGAUGGGCCCGCGGCCUAUCAGCUUGUUGGUGGGGUGAUGGCCUACCAAGGCGACGACGGGUAGCCGGCCUGAGAGGGCGUCCGGCCACACUGGGACUGAGACAGGCCCA
RNAcentral lists this ribosomal RNA (230 nucleotides) under uncultured bacterium. RNAcentral's name for it is "partial 16S ribosomal RNA". It matches the Rfam family "Bacterial small subunit ribosomal RNA", at positions 118 to 333 of the family's 1533-position model. The record is from RNAcentral.